UACGGGGGGGGCAAGCGUUGUUCGGAAUUACUGGGCGUAAAGGGCUCGUAGGCGGCCAACUAAGUCGGAUGUGAAAUCCCCAGGCUUAACUUGGGAACUGCAUCCGAUACUGGAUGGCUUGAAUCCGGGAGAGGGAUGCGGAAUUCCAGGUGUAGCGGUGAAAUGCGUAGAUAUUCGGAGGAACACCAGUGGCGAAGGCGGCUCACUGGUCCAUUACUGACGCUGAGGUGCGAAAGCGUGGGGAGCAAACAGG
This 253-nucleotide ribosomal RNA is filed under the name uncultured bacterium. Its description in RNAcentral is "partial 16S ribosomal RNA". It matches the Rfam family "Bacterial small subunit ribosomal RNA", at positions 524 to 776 of the family's 1533-position model. The record is from RNAcentral.